Molecule: long non-coding RNA, 1433 nt
Filed under: Mus musculus (house mouse)
Lineage: Eukaryota; Metazoa; Chordata; Mammalia; Rodentia; Muridae
Description: predicted gene 15657
Source: RNAcentral
ACUACACUGUAUUUGGAUCCCUGCCUACCAAGCUCUGAAGUGUGGAGCCUGCUCCUGUACCCUGCUGGGGGAAUUCUCUGGCCCAAGUCUCCUUUCUACACCUCUAAGAAGGCAUUUCUUCUUCAUGGUGACUCCAGAAAAUCACGUAGAUCUUAUCAGUUCUAAUUGGGACCUGAAGACUUGGCCACAGCACCCAGGCUUGGCAGAGGAGAUCUGAGACUACGAUACCAAUUCAACUUAUCAAGUUACAGAAGCAACCACAAAAUAACAAAAAAGGAGUUUCUUACCCACGGUCACCAAAAGGAGACUGAGAGAGAGAAGCAGGAAGCCUUUCAUGGUAGCUGCUCUUGCUUGAUAAUCCAAGGAGGAAAUGUGUCCUCUCCUUCGCUGCCUGGAGUUUUAACUGUCUUUCAAGUCCGAAGUCCACUCAUUAACUGAUAGAGGCAAAGGCAAUUCGUGGUCAGGAUCUGGUCUCUGGUCGUACAGCAUGGGCUGCUUCCAACCUCAGAGUCAGGUCACUUGAGCCCAGCUUCAGGUUGAUAUCCUUGACUCAAAGUCCAGGACAACUGUAGAAGUCUGAGUUCUCUUUAGAAAUCCUUGCAAGGUCAAAGGUGAGUGUAUUCAGCUAAUCUCUCUAUAUCUUGGGAAUGGUAGACCUAUCGCCUCCCCAGAGCCUACUACUGUCUCUCUAAACACUCAGUAAUCUAGCCGAGAACGAUGAUUGCCUUACCUCUGACCCCUUCUUAUUUUGUGUGUGCACACCACAGUGCUCAUGUAGCUGCCAGAGGAUGGUGGGAAGGGUUGAUUCUUGACCCUUCACCAUGUGGGAUCAUGGGAUGGAAUUCAGGUCAUCAGGCUUAGUGGCAGAUGCCUUUAACUCUGAGUCAUCUUCUGGGCCCUCCCCUCCCCAACUCCCCACCAUUUGACUGCAAAGAAUUCUAUUUUCUCUACCUGCUGUUCCAAGAAUACCUGAAAAGUCCUUUCAUGUUUUCUCCAACUAUUUAUGACUUGACUUGUGUCAUCUUUUGCUGUGGACUCCCACACUGGGCUUUUCCUAAUGGUCACUUCUAGAAACUUCUAGAGCUAACGUUUCCAAGCUUCCCUCCAUCUCACAUAUCACUUUAACUGGACAUAGACCCCAGUUGUCAUGCUCCUAUUAGAAGCAGGCUUGAAGGUUAUUGACGGUAGGCUCCCUUUCCCAUAACCACCUUGGCCCACCGUCUGUCGUGGGUCCAAUUUUAACAGAGGCCAAUUUGAAAUUCCACAAGCAAAGAGAAAACUUGGGAAGCAGAAGAGACAGACAGAUCUCUGUGAGUUCAAGGCCAGCCUACUCUACAGAGAGAGUUCCAGGCCGGCCAGGGUUGCCUAGUUAAGACUGUCUUUAAAAAACAAAACAAAACAAUAAAAUCAAACAAACAGCAACAGAACAAUCA